RNAcentral lists this long non-coding RNA (1076 nucleotides) under Capra hircus (goat). RNAcentral describes it as "lncRNA (ENSCHIG00010000006.1)". The record is from RNAcentral. Lineage: Eukaryota; Metazoa; Chordata; Mammalia; Artiodactyla; Bovidae.
AUGAGGGAAAGCGCCCUGGAGUCUCACGCCCCGCGGCCGGCCGCGUCUCCAAGGGCGCCUCCCUACUCCGCCUGCCUUCUGCCCGCAUCACCUCGGCCCCAGCAACGCUCGUCCGAUGCGCCUCCCUCGGUGCCCGUCGCCCCGCAGCACCCGCUCCAGCUGCACUUCCCUGAAAUUCCUGCUGCCCUGGAUCGGGCUUCGGGAGCGGGUACCGGUGAACCCCGUUCUCUCCGCCGCCCAGGGCAAGGCCUCAGCGGUAGGUUCGGCUCCCCCCCCCCCCCCCGGCCCCUCUUUCCGUGCGAUCCGCGCAUCUCCGCGGCCUCCGACCCCUCCAGGGCAGGCGCUAAUCUUUGGCUCUCGCGUUUGGAGGAGAGAAAGGGAAGAAGGGUCACUUCCGAGCCUCAUUCGCGCCGUUUCCUGAGAUGGGGGGCACUAGGAGGGCGCUUUUCUUCCCCCUCUGGCCUCCCCGCCACACUUUCGGCUCUCCCUGCGAACUGGGGAGAAGCGGGGUCCCCGCGCGGGCUCGGGGAUUCAUCCUCCACAGCGGGGCACUCGGGCCGCGCCGCCCUGUAGCUGCCCCGGAGCCGCCGAGAAGGUCCCGGCACCCCUUCCCCCCUCCUUCGUCCUCCAGCGCCCCCCCCAUCCCCCGCCCGGGUGUCCAGGUCCCGCGACCCGCUCGCCCGAGCCCGUCCCCGUCGCGCGCCCCGGGCACUCACCACCACUUCCUCGAGGCCCGGAGCGCGCGGGUCUCUCCCGGGAGAGUCCCUGGAGGCGGAGGUGCGCCUGUGACUCCGGGGCCGCGGCGGGGUCUGGAGGCGAGGUUGGCCGCCCCCGCCCCCGCCGCGGUCCCUCCUCCCCCCCUCUUUCCGCCCCCCCUCCCCACUUCCCCGGGCCGUGGCGCCCGAGCGCUCCGCCCGAAGGCGGGUCCGCCAUAAACAAACGCGUCUCGGCCGCACGUGGACCGCGGAACUUCUGCGCCUGGCGGCAGAUCGCGGGCUCCGGGCGCCGCAGCUGCGGGCACAGGGCACCGCCAGGGAGGGCAGGCGAGCGCUCCCGGGCCGGGCCCAGCCGCCUCC